UUCUGGGUUCGAACCUCAUUGAAGUGAUUUUCUUUUUUAAAAAUUUUAAGCAUGCACUAUCCUUAAAUCCUAGGUCCGCCACUGCUCCAUAUCAUUAAGACUAUCUGUGAGUAGCUUUCACUGUAAGCAUGGUAUCUUACUUACUGGGUGAUGGUGGAAAUGAAAGGGAAAGAUAAGGGUAUUGAAGGAGGGGUAAAAUAAGGUUAGGGUGAUGAGGUAGCGCACCGCAUGGCGUCCACUUCACUCAAAUGCCCGGCCAGUUAUGAUUUUAAUUGUUGUCAUGGUGGACUUCUUAGAGUAAUUUUGUUCGCAGAGUAUACUGGAGGUUAAAUGUAAUCAAUAUUUGAAAGUAAGGGAUUAUCUGGAUUACUUUUACUAUAUUAUCAAAAACUAAGAUAAGUGAUUUCAAAUGUACUGCACUUUUGAAAUGCCUAGAUGUGACUUAGAAUCUAAUGUAACCAUAUGUCAAAAAAGGAGAGAUAAUAAGUCAUAGCUUCAAAGAUCAAAUUUUGUGCUGAAAAUACAAGCCAGCUUCAUUAUUACAUUGGGAUCUUCUAGGUUGUUAAUCUUACGUUUUUACAUUGGAUAGUUAGAACAGCAGUAUGCCUUCAGCAGAUGUGCAGAGGCCCCUUUCAAGAGUUUUGAUUACACUUGCAGUUCGUUUAGAUGUUUAUUUCGAGUGUUUGGUGUAUGUUUGCGUAAACUCCUGGAUGAUCAAUCUCAAGAUAGCUGCUGUUCCUGAACUUGAUUUUUAUGCUUCUUGUAUAUAUUUUGCUCUUGUUGGAUUCUGAAUAUGAGCUUGGUGUUACAGCGUUUGCAGCCAUUAUAUAUACAAUAAGAUUCUGAACUUAUUUCCUUGUAUCCCUAAGAUGAAAAGUUAUUGUUCCUUUCAGCAUUCAGUGGCUUACUCUACAGCUUUAUGUUCAUCCUUGUUUGUACAUCCUCUUGCCAUGUUACAUCAGAACGAUGAAUUCAUAAAAUAUAAUUAUUUGUAUCAUGUAGUUCAUAUAUAUAGAACUCUUAAUGUUGAAAACACAUGAGACUCUUGAUGUUUAUGCCUCUUUUAAAUGAACCUUACAAUUUUCCUCAAUAAAUGCCAUUUUGCUUCUGCUUAGUGUAGAGAGUAGUAUAUGUUACUGAUUACUCAGAGAGCUUUGCUGUGUUUUUGGCUUUUGCCAAAACCACUCAGUAAGUUGAACAAAGUGGUGGUUUUCACCAAACAGAAAGCUGAAGAUACUAAUGCCAUUUUGGAGUAAUUCUCCCACAUUUUCAUCUAAGAGAAAAGUUGAGCAAAAGUAGUAGUAAGACCACCCAUGGCCUAGGCUGGUGACCUCCAUUGCACAUUGGAGGGAUGUCAGCCUAAGGUCGUCCCAAGUGGUUGAGCCUACGGCAUAAUUUGUGGUAGCGAUUUCUUGUCAGUUAAGAAAUUGAUUAGAGCAUUGUAUCUCUGGCUACAGAGUUCACAGCAGAAGCCACUAGCUUAGAAUUCAUGCCUAGUCCAGAUGCACACUCAAUCAAAUAGAAAUAGCUAGCUACUCCAAUACUCCACCAGCACAUGCACUGGGCAGACCCUAAUGUCUUGUGGCUCAGUAAAGCCAACUGCCAGUCCUCUGAGCCAUCCAACUAGCUAUUUGUCUUUAAAUGAUAACUCCUGUCUAUAUGAUUUUGUAUGCUUCCAUCCUUCCUGGGAAAAGAAGAAUUUUCCUUUGUAUCCCUAAGAUGAAAAAAUAUUCUUCCUUUCAGCAUUCAGUGGCUAUGUUCAUCCAUGUUUAAACAUCCUCUCUUCAUGUUAUUGUGCAUGAGAACGAUGAAUUCAUGAAAUUUAAUAUUUGUAUCAUGUGGUUCAUAUUUAUAGAACUAUUAAUGUUGCGAAUCACAUGAGACUCUUGAUGUUUAUGCCUCUCUAAAUGAACCUUACAAUUAUCCUCAACAGGACCCAUUUGCUAUUGCUUCGUUUACCGAGUUGUAUAUGUUACUGACUAAUCGGAGAACUUAGUAGCAAUAUUUUCGGCUUUUGAAAAACCAUUCAUUAGGUUAAGCAGAGUGGCUUUCUUAUCCAAACAGAAAGCUAAAGAGAGUAAUGCAAUUAUGAGUAAUCCUUCCACAUUGGCAUCUAAGAGAUGCAAACGCCGUCAGUAUUAAUAGUAGGCUGACUAACUGGAAAACAUACUUGAACGGGGUCAACAGGCGAUCAAUAGACUCAUGGCCUAGGCUUGCGACCUCCAUUGCACUUUGGAGGACUGCCAGCAUAAGGUUAGCCCAAGUGGUCAAGCCUAUGUCAUAAUUUGCCACAGGCCUGCUUUCACGCAGCCCCUACCCAAAUCUAAACCUAAAAAUUCUUGUCCAUUAUAAAAUUGAUGAGACAAAAGAGACCCUGGUUGCAAAAGUUACAGCAAAAAAGUUUUUUGUGCCUGUUCGACUUUAGUUUAGCCUAUUUGCUACCCACUAGCUCUAAAGAAAUUGCUUUACUAAAGGCAGGACAACUAUUAAAAUGUCAUUCGCAAUAAAUGAUGAUAAAGGCUGCUUUGGUUUCAUCAAGAUUAUCAAGAGAACUGGUAAUUUCAAGAAGCAAACUGUUCCACAGAUCGCAAGAUACGGGAAUUAUAAAGCUCUUUUUAGCUAAUUGAACUCAGGUUCUCAACCCCAAACAAGGCCAGAGCUAGAA
RNAcentral lists this long non-coding RNA (2665 nucleotides) under Capsicum annuum. Its description in RNAcentral is "long non-coding RNA (CANN_LNC021985)". The stretch from base 2163 to 2317 matches the Rfam family "U1 spliceosomal RNA". The record is from RNAcentral. Lineage: Eukaryota; Viridiplantae; Streptophyta; Magnoliopsida; Solanales; Solanaceae.